GAGGUUAAGCGACUAAGCGUACACGGUGGAUGCCCUGGCAGUCAGAGGCGAUGAAGGGCGUACUAAUCUGCGAUAAGCGCCGGUAAGGUGAUAUGAACCGUUAUAACCGGCGAUACCCGAAUGGGGAAACCCAGUGUGAUUCGUCACACUAUCAUUAACUGAAUCCAUAGGUUAAUGAGGCGAACCGGGGGAACUGAAACAUCUAAGUACCCCGAGGAAAAGAAAUCAACCGAGAUUCCCCCAGUAGCGGCGAGCGAACGGGGAGGAGCCCAGAGCCUGAAUCAGCAUGUGUGUUAGUGGAAGCGUCUGGAAAGGCGCGCGAUACAGGGUGACAGCCCCGUACACAAAAGCGCAUGUGCUGUGAGCUCGAUGAGUAGGGCGGGACACGUGGUAUCCUGUCUGAAUAUGGGGGGACCAUCCUCCAAGGCUAAAUACUCCUGACUGACCGAUAGUGAACCAGUACCGUGAGGGAAAGGCGAAAAGAACCCCGGCGAGGGGAGUGAAAAAGAACCUGAAACCGU
RNAcentral lists this ribosomal RNA (521 nucleotides) under Salmonella enterica subsp. enterica serovar Enteritidis. RNAcentral describes it as "partial 23S ribosomal RNA". It matches the Rfam family "Bacterial large subunit ribosomal RNA", at positions 1 to 559 of the family's 2925-position model. The record is from RNAcentral. Lineage: Bacteria; Pseudomonadati; Pseudomonadota; Gammaproteobacteria; Enterobacterales; Enterobacteriaceae.